CGGAUCUACACUCCUCAGAAGGAAUUAUGUGAGCUUCAAAUUCCACUGGCAGCUCAAGAAACUAUCUCCCCCAUGGUAGCUUUUGUUCCAAGUUAAAACUUUCACUAGAAUUAAACGACCCCUUUAUCUUUCCCAUGCAAAAUGCCAAAUUGCUUUUCAACGUUUUGGUCGUAAAGAUGCGGCCAGACCAUAGGCUGCCAGACCUGCUGAACUGUUCCAGUGAUUUGUCUCCUCUUUUACCAGAUUUGUUUCUUCACAAGCUGCUGGUUCAGGGAGGGUACCAAAUGCCACCACAGUACAUUGAUUUUGUUUGUGAACAUUGUCAUCGCUGAAACAGCUUAUGGUGUACAAUGGAACAUCUACCCCACCAAAUGAACACGGAUCAAGAAAUCUUCCAAAUGAAAGGGGAAAUGAACACACCUCAGAGUUGAAUGGUUUGUUAAGACUUUAGAAAUACUCUCCUGGUGCUGCCAUCAAGGUGGCUCCUGAAAAUUAGCAGCAAGAAUUAUUUGUCCAUUGUCCUCAGUUUUCCAAUCAAUGAAUUGGUCUGAAAUAAAUGCUCUGAAAUUCUGUCAUGCUUGGCUGGUGAUGAAACCUUACUGUCAGCCGGCUAAACUCACAGAAUGAUCCUUAGAAUGCAACUGAGAAUCAAUCUUGCUGAUAGAAGCUUCUGGAAAGGAUAAGAUGCAUGUCAGCAGCACCACUUAAUUCCAGUUUUGAUAACAACAAAUCUCGAUAGUUACAAUACGUCAACAAAAUAUUUGUUUAACAGCAACAAACCUUCCCACCCAACAUGAACUAAUUGCUCUCUGUGUAAAGGGAGUCAAAUUGCUUAAAUGGUCUCAACCUGAUGAGUCACUUGUGCAGGUGUCUUGUUUAUCAACUCUUCAGUAAUUGGCUUUCUGUUUGACUUCCUCUUUGGCCUGAACACAGGUAUCGAUAGAUCCACGCUUGUCUGAACAUGUUGUGCUUUGUCAGAUCACCAAGCCCAGCUGUCACUGAGCGUGGGCAGCACUUCACAAAGAGGCAGGUGGUAAUUUCUCUGAAAGUAUU
Stegostoma tigrinum is the source of this 1053-nucleotide long non-coding RNA. RefSeq lists it as uncharacterized. The transcript has 3 exons. The record is from RefSeq and is a predicted model, not a curated record. NCBI's taxonomy places the organism in Eukaryota, Metazoa, Chordata, Chondrichthyes, Orectolobiformes, Stegostomatidae.